UGAUCCUUACCCAGUCUCCGACCUUUACCCUUGGUUGCUCUGGAUCUCCCGUCAGCUCCCCCCCAUGGACUUUGUGUAUCUGUUUGGAAAGAGCUGCGGACAGUUCCGUCAAUUUUCUUACAUAGUCAGUCAUACCUAUCUGGUGUACAUCAAGAGGGGGCAUAUGACCUCCCUCUCUUGGUGGACCUGGCAUUACUCUUCCUGUCAUUAUUUAGUGGGGUGAGAGAUGAGUCCCUGCCCCAGGUGAUGACCUCAUGGCCAUCAACGCCAGUGGCAGGGCCUCCACCCAUGUCAGUUUUGUACCUGCACACACCUUGGCUAUCUUAGCCUUCAGAGACUAAUAUCGCUCCUUGGUUCCCCUCUAUGUUCUCUGUACACACUGGAUGUGCAGGAGGUGGGGGUUCCCCUCCCCUCUGACUUCAAGCUGCUCCCGUUGCCCCCUGCUCCAUCUAUGAAUGGAUUCCUCGUGUGGCCACUGGGGCGGAGCUGUUCUCGCAUAGAUCGAGGGGCAUGCAUGUCAGAUGGCCCUGGUGUGCACCUUUGUGCACCCCCUGGUGUGGAGUAACCCUAUGGGCCAGGCUUUAAUUCUUCACACUCCAGGUGGCCCCCUUUGAUCAACGUAUCCCCUUGGAGUACUCCUUCUUUUACAAGGAACACAGGGGCCUGUGUUGACGCGGGCCCGGCCCUUUUCCCCUUAUCAGUAUAAGGUGGAGGCAAAUUUGAUAGGACUGGGUAAAGGGGUCGGGUCGUUGAGGGCACAUGUGUUGGCGGGGCAGAGGGAAAUGGAUUUGGCGCCAUCUCCUGGUGGUGGUCCGUCUGCUCAUCUUCCCCUUGUGAGGGAGUGGCCACCCCCAUCAUUUCCGUUUUUUUAUUCAGUUGUGCUCUUAGCGCCUCUUCGAUGGCCCAAGUUCCUAUCUUCAGUUCCACUUCUGCCCUUUCUCUCUGUUUAGUCCCUUUUUCUUGAUGACUCCGCCUCCGUCCCAGUGACUAUCCCCAUGAUUUCCGGUUUAGUUUUCAGUUGUGCUCUGUGGAUCUCCUCAACAGCCCAAGUGCCUAUUUUGAAUUCAGCUUCUGCUCUUUCUCUGUCUUUGUCCCUUCCUUCUUAAAUACAUGCAGCUUGUUCUGUUCUAUCUCUUUGUCUUUAGCUUCCUGUAAUGCUUCACGCAACUCGCCUUCCAUUGUGCUAAGCUGGACCCUAUUUGGCGUUCCCCCUACUAAAUAACCUGCCUGUGUCCACUUCAACUUCAACCCUUCCCAAACCUUCUUUAUUGACUUCCACUGUUCCUUUCCUCCUGACCUAUCUUGCAUACGUUGGUCUAGAAAAUCAUUGAAUUUUAAUUUGGGAGGUUGCGGAGUCGCCAUUUUGAGUUUUUAGAAAUAUUUUGCACACUAUCUGAAUAUACUUAGCUCGUCACUAGCUCACACCAGUGAUGUAUUCUUAGGAGACACUAUUACUCGUACUCUGCCUUAACUCAGAGCUUCUCCGUCAUAUAUCCAGAAUUUACAUUAAUAAUGGUUCAAUGAUUGAUAAGUACUUUUAGAAUUUAGGAAAUAAUAGCAGGGUCUUGUGAAACUCUGUUUACAUUUAUUCUAUAGUCGAUACACGAAUAUUCUUACAUGCACAUAGCAUUAGAACAACAUAUUUUGCGACGUCACACAAUUGUACAUUUAUCACAUCAAUUCAGACCAAACACAAAGCGGACUUUUCAGUCCAACAUAUAUUAAUCUUUUGUAGACACCUCACCGGUCACAAGCCUGGCUAUUGGUUAAACCUCACCGGUCACAAGCCUGGCUAUUGGUUAUAUCUAUGCCUAAUUAGAGAUUCAAUAUAUAUUAACAUUUUGUAGACACCUCACCGGUCACAAGCCUGGCUAUUGGUUAAAUCUAUGCCCAAUUAUAGAUCACCUUACCGGACACAAGCCGGACCGGACACUAGCCGGACUAUCGGUAGCAACUCUAUAUUGACUAUUUUAUUCCUGACCGGUCUCAGCCGGACCGGACACAAGCCGGACUAUCGGAAUAUUCUAUAUUUAUUGUUAGUUAUCCCUGACCGGACACAAGCCGGACCCUCGGGUUAUUCUAGGUCUACUAUUACUUAUCCCUGACCGGACACAAGCCGGACCCUCGGGUUAUUCUAGGUCUACUAUUACUUAUCCCUGACCGGACACAAGCCGGACCCUCGGGUUAUUCUAGGUCUACUAUUACUUAUCCCUGACCGGACACAAGCCGGACCCUCGGGUUAUUCUAGGUCUACUAUUACUUAUCCCUGACCG
Long non-coding RNA from Oncorhynchus tshawytscha (Chinook salmon), 2273 nucleotides. Lineage: Eukaryota; Metazoa; Chordata; Actinopteri; Salmoniformes; Salmonidae. The record is from Ensembl.